AUAUGUGUACUGCGCAUGCCAUAAGUGUAUAAUCUAUGGCGCAUGCGUCAACUAUAAUGCCUAAACUUUCUACGCGGUUUUAAUCGUGAAAAAAAAACAAUUAUAAAUCCUGAAGGAUCAAUUAAUUGGUAUACAGUUUAAUUAAAAAAAAUAAAAAAUAAAUAAAUAAGAUAAUGUGCAUUCGCGUAAAGUUAGCCCAAAUACAUUUUUUCCAUCCUCCUAUAUACCUAUCGCUAUGAAGGUAUAAAAAAGAUAGGUUAAGAGUUCACAUAGGUAAUAUAAACAAAUAAGUAAAUAUGUUCAUUAUUUAUCUUUCAAGAGAUAAUGUAGGUAUACAUUAUAAUAACAUUUUGACACAGUCGAAAUUAUAUUCCUAACAUUAGUAAAAUAACAUUUUAAUAUUUUUUUUAUAGGUUAUGUAUUGAAAUUGUUGGAAAAUUAUUUCAUGUUUUAGCUGGAAAACUACAUGGAGAAUUAUAUGCAAUACAAGAUAAUGAGCUCCAUCAAAUGAAUUCGAAUGAAACCAAACUGUUUACCAUCCAAAUUCGAUUGUCGGGCAGAUAGAAAACGAAAAUUCACUCAUAGUGAACCUCGGCCUGCAUUUGUGAAACGGCAAAGACUCACUAUUAUCAAGGAAAUUGAAGAGACGACUAAAAAUGAGAUGUGUCGUAUUAUUAUACCUUUGCCAUCUUGUAGUCAAGAUGUCCAGCCACUUGAAAAUAGGUGUAGUAAUGACAAAGCUAUCCAAGUAGCUCCAGCACAGGAACACAAAGGCAAGGCAAGUGUGUAUUGCCACAUCACCCCUUAAUAUAUCUGAAGCAAGUAUAAGUAAACAAUCAGAACCAGCAAAAAAAAAACUGUUGUUCCUGAGGACAAAUUUGACAGUGAUGAGUCAAAUGCACCAGCAACAGAAGGAUCAACUGUUGACUAUGGGUUAUAGAAGAAGAAGAUUAAUUCAUAUUUAUUUAAAUUAAUAUUAAUGAAUAUUAAUUUAAAUUAUCGUGCAAAAUUCGUGGUGAAAACAUAUGUGUAUUUUAUAAAUAAAUAUUCAUUCUCAGUA
This is a long non-coding RNA of Bombyx mori (domestic silkworm), 1060 nucleotides long. RefSeq lists it as uncharacterized. The transcript has 2 exons. Lineage: Eukaryota; Metazoa; Arthropoda; Insecta; Lepidoptera; Bombycidae. The record is from RefSeq and is a predicted model, not a curated record.